UUGCCUCGGCGGGGUCACGCCCCGGGUGCGUCGCAGCCCCGGAACCAGGCGCCCGCCGGAGGGACCAACCAAACUCUUUUCUGUAGUCCCCUCGCGGACGUUAUUUCUUACAGCUCUGAGCAAAAAUUCAAAAUGAAUCAAAACUUUCAACAACGGAUCUCUUGGUUCUGGCAUCGAUGAAGAACGCAGCGAAAUGCGAUAAGUAAUGUGAAUUGCAGAAUUCAGUGAAUCAUCGAAUCUUUGAACGCACAUUGCGCCCGCCAGUAUUCUGGCGGGCAUGCCUGUCCGAGCGUCAUUUCAACCCUCGAACCCCUCCGGGGGGUCGGCGUUGGGGAUCGGGAACCCCUAAGACGGGAUCCCGGCCCCGAAAUACAGUGGCGGUCUCGCCGCAGCCUCUCCUGCGCAGUAGUUUGCACAACUCGCACCGGGAGCGCGGCGCGUCCACGUCCGUAAAACACCCAACUU
This 465-nucleotide ribosomal RNA is filed under the name Trichoderma gamsii. RNAcentral describes it as "eukaryotic LSU rRNA". The stretch from base 142 to 295 matches the Rfam family "5.8S ribosomal RNA". Lineage: Eukaryota; Fungi; Ascomycota; Sordariomycetes; Hypocreales; Hypocreaceae. The record is from RNAcentral.